GACGAAGGGGGCUAGCGUUGUUCGGAAUUACUGGGCGUAAAGCGCGUGUAGGCGGCUGUCCAAGUUGGAUGUGAAAGCCUUGAGCUCAACUCAAGAAAUGCAUUCAGGACUGGAUGACUAGAGGACCGGAGAGGAUAGUGGAAUUCCCAGUGUAGUGGUGAAAUACGUAGAGAUUGGGAAGAACACCAGUGGCGAAGGCGGCUAUCUGGACGGUUUCUGACGCUAAGACGCGAAAGCGUGGGGAGCAAACAGG
RNAcentral lists this ribosomal RNA (253 nucleotides) under uncultured bacterium. RNAcentral describes it as "partial 16S ribosomal RNA". It matches the Rfam family "Bacterial small subunit ribosomal RNA", at positions 524 to 776 of the family's 1533-position model. The record is from RNAcentral.